CAGGUUGGCAUCAAUGUUCCCAUUCCAGUUCCAUUGCCCUUUUUCUCAUUUACUGGCAACAAGGCAUCAUUUGCAGGAGAUCUCAAUUUCUAUGGGAAGGCUGGGGUUAACUUUUAUACUCAGAUUAAGACAGUGACUCAGCAAUGGAAGGAUUCUGCUGGUGGUAGCAGAAUUAACUUGGCAAUGCCGACCUCUCAAAAAUCUUGAUGAAACACUGUAUAGUAGUUAAAUUUGGAUCCCUAGAAGCAUUUCAUAUUUUAGAGGGUGAAAUAGAGGAAGAUAAAAUAGGAGAGUGACCUUCACUUCUGUUGGACAUAUAUAAGCACAGGUGAAAUCUACUUUUCCUUCUCCCUCUCUCUGCUUUAGGAGGUGAAGUUUUUCAGAAGAUCCAAAUUUAUUAUGACAGUUUGGCUUUGUCUUUCUCCCCUUCGCCCCCAGGCUUGCUCUGUUCAAUGAAUAAAGGGACCCUUCCUCUUA
Molecule: long non-coding RNA, 477 nt
Organism: Neltuma alba
Lineage: Eukaryota; Viridiplantae; Streptophyta; Magnoliopsida; Fabales; Fabaceae
Exons: 2
Source: RefSeq, a predicted model, not a curated record